GAUGGACGCUGGCGGCGUGCCUAAUACAUGCAAGUCGAGCGAACAGAUGAGGAGCUUGCUCCUCUGACGUUAGCGGCGGACGGGUGAGUAACACGCGGAUAACCUACCUAUAAGACUGGGAUAACUUCGGGAAACCGGAGCUAAUACCGGAUAAUAUAUUGAACCGCAUGGUUCAAUAGUGAAAGACGGUUUUGCUGUCACUUAUAGAUGGAUCCGCGCCGCAUUAGCUAGUUGGUAAGGUAACGGCUUACCAAGGCAACGAUGCGUAGCCGACCUGAGAGGGUGAUCGGCCACACUGGAACUGAGACACGGUCCAGACUCCUACGGGAGGCAGCAGUAGGGAAUCUUCCGCAAUGGGCGAAAGCCUGACGGAGCAACGCCGCGUGAGUGAUGAAGGUCUUCGGAUCGUAAAACUCUGUUAUUAGGGAAGAACAAAUGUGUAAGUAACUAUGCACGUCUUGACGGUACCUAAUCAGAAAGCCACGGCUAACUACGUG
Molecule: ribosomal RNA, 497 nt
Filed under: uncultured bacterium
Lineage: Bacteria
Description: partial 16S ribosomal RNA
Rfam family: Bacterial small subunit ribosomal RNA
Source: RNAcentral